Molecule: ribosomal RNA, 380 nt
Filed under: uncultured cyanobacterium
Lineage: Bacteria; Bacillati; Cyanobacteriota
Description: bacterial SSU rRNA
Rfam family: Bacterial small subunit ribosomal RNA
Source: RNAcentral
CGCAAGCCUGACGGAGCAAGACCGCGUGGGGGAGGAAUGCCUUAGGGUUGUAAACCCCUUUUCUUUGGGAAGAACAAAAUGACGGUACCAAAGGAAUCAGCCUCGGCUAACUCCGUGCCAGCAGCCGCGGUAAUACGGAGGAGGCAAGCGUUAUCCGGAAUGAUUGGGCGUAAAGCGUCCGCAGGUGGCAAUGUAAGUCUGCUGUCAAAACCCAGGGCUCAACUCUGGUCAGGCAGUGGAAACUACAUAGCUAGAGUUCGGUAGGGGCAAAGGGAAUUCCCGGUGUAGCGGUGAAAUGCGUAGAGAUCGGGAAGAACAUCGGUGGCGAAAGCGCUCUGCUGGGCCGCAACUGACACUCAGGGACGAAAGCUAGGGGAGCG